CGUCGAGGAGGUCGCCGGAUUGAGAUCAGACUUCGUCGAGGAAGUAGUAUUCGACAUUUCGGUGGAACAAGAGCUGAGAGACGUAAAUGUAGGAUUCUAUUUUUUAAUUUUUUUUUAUUAAAAAUGAAAAUGUAAUUUUAAAUUAAAAGGUUGAAUGAAAAUGUUAAUUAUAAUAUCCAGAUCAGCAAAGUCAUCGUCCGCCAAAUAAUUAGAAAUUUGACAUGUCAGAAAGAUUUUACCUCAUGAAUUCUUUUAAAAGUUUUGAGAUUUUGCAGUGAUAUAAAUAAAUAAAAUUCACUUCAUGGACUUUUUUUGUGAAAACAAUUUUUUUAUUUUAUUUUACGGUGAUCAAAAUCAAAAGUGACAUUUUUUUUUUGACGAUAUAUUUUUAGGGACCAAAAACAAUAUAGAUGCCUACGCAUAAUAUAUACAGGGACGGAUCCAGAAAUUAUUUACACGGAGGGCCUAAUUUCUUUUUGUAAUAAUAAAUAAUAGAGUUAAAUAUAUUUUUUGUCCUUAUAAAAUAACAAGUUUUUAUGUUUAGUCUUAUUAAAUUUUAACUGAAAACAUCCUCUAAAAUCUUGUAGUUUGAUAAGAAUAGUCUCUAUUUUUAAAUAUUUUUACAAAAAAUUGACUCUUAAUUUUAUAAAGACAAAAAAUAUAUUUAACUCAAAAUUAUAAGAUAUAAAAUCACAAAAAUUUAUUUAGAAGCACCUAAAACAAAAGUGUGUAAAGUGUCAUUAGCAACUCAUAUAUGCAUCGGGAGGGGGUUGGAGCCCUUGCUUACCCCCGGGUCCGUCCCUGAAUAUAUACACAUAAAAUAUAAAUGUCAAUUAUCUAUAAAAGAAUCCAUGAGACCAGACAUUAGCAAGAUCCUUAGUUUAACACCCCGUUCUAAUGUUGAAGAAUUCUUCUUUUCGGUGAUGAUUUCCAUUGGNNNUUGUAGUAAUUUUUUUUCACUUCCAAGAAUAUGUUCCCAUGAACUGGAUUUACCAUAUCCUAAGAUCUAGUUUACGUGAGGUUUUUGGGCCAAUAAAAAUAAGAAAGUCCAAAAAGAUAAUUUUUUGUUAGCUUAAAUGCAGUUUUACUCUCUCUGUUUUGAUUAAAUCGAAAUUUUAUCCCAUAUUUAAAAACGCGGACUUUUAACCCCCUGUUUUAUAAUUUUUUGGAUUUUGCCCCCCUAAAAUUCUGCUUUCGAGUCACACCUUAAAAGCUUCCCACACAACUCAAUUUGGAUCAAUAAUUCACCAAACGUAUACUGAAAUGACCGUAAUCGAGUUAUCUUUCCACAUAAUCAAACCCCACUAAAUUUGGAGUAACAAAGAGAGAUUAAUUACCGUUUUAGUGAAGGUAUGUCCCCCAAAUUCUGAACAAAAUCUGCUUUCGAGUCA
RNAcentral lists this long non-coding RNA (1391 nucleotides) under Trifolium pratense (red clover). RNAcentral's name for it is "long non-coding RNA (TPRA_LNC006046)". The record is from RNAcentral. Lineage: Eukaryota; Viridiplantae; Streptophyta; Magnoliopsida; Fabales; Fabaceae.